This 492-nucleotide ribosomal RNA is filed under the name uncultured bacterium. Its description in RNAcentral is "partial 16S ribosomal RNA". It matches the Rfam family "Bacterial small subunit ribosomal RNA", at positions 29 to 507 of the family's 1533-position model. The record is from RNAcentral.
AGUGAACGCUGGCGGUAGGCCUAACACAUGCAAGUCGAACGGCAGCACAGUAAGAGCUUGCUCUUACGGGUGGCGAGUGGCGGACGGGUGAGGAAUACAUCGGAAUCUACUUUUUCGUGGGGGAUAACGUAGGGAAACUUACGCUAAUACCGCAUACGACCUACAGGUGAAAGCAGGGGAUCUUCGGACCUUGCGCGAUUGAAUGAGCCGAUGUCGGAUUAGCUAGUUGGCGGGGUAAAGGCCCACCAAGGCGACGAUCCGUAGCUGGUCUGAGAGGAUGAUCAGCCACACUGGAACUGAGACACGGUCCAGACUCCUACGGGAGGCAGCAGUGGGGAAUAUUGGACAAUGGGCGCAAGCCUGAUCCAGCCAUACCGCGUGGGUGAAGAAGGCCUUCGGGUUGUAAAGCCCUUUUGUUGGGGAAGAAAAGCAGCAGGUUAAUACCCCGCUGUUCUGACGGUACCCAAAGAAUAAGCACCGGCUAACUUCGUG